This 67-nucleotide small nuclear RNA is filed under the name Alligator mississippiensis (American alligator). RNAcentral describes it as "U4 spliceosomal RNA". It matches the Rfam family "U4 spliceosomal RNA", at positions 1 to 67 of the family's 138-position model. From Rfam's summary of the family: U4 small nuclear RNA (U4 snRNA) is a component of the major U2-dependent spliceosome. The structure of U4 snRNA from yeast and human has been reported. U4 snRNA presents a k-turn RNA motif in the 5p-SL related to recognition of Snu13 protein. Lineage: Eukaryota; Metazoa; Chordata; Crocodylia; Alligatoridae. The record is from Rfam by way of RNAcentral.
UUAUUUGUGCAGGGGCAGUGUCGUAGCUGAUGAGGUUAAUCUGAGGCGUGAUUAUUGCUAAUUGAAG